This 200-nucleotide ribosomal RNA is filed under the name uncultured bacterium. RNAcentral describes it as "partial 16S ribosomal RNA". It matches the Rfam family "Bacterial small subunit ribosomal RNA", at positions 1300 to 1500 of the family's 1533-position model. The record is from RNAcentral.
GCAGGCUGCAACUCGCCUGCAUGAAGCUGGAAUUGCUAGUAAUCGCGGAUCAGCAAGCCGCGGUGAAUACGUUCCCGGGCCUUGUACACACCGCCCGUCACACCAUGAGAGUCGGGAACACCCGAAGUCCGUAGUCUAACCGCAAGGGGGCGCGGCCGAGGGUGGGUCCGGUAAUUGGGGUGAAGUCGUAACAAGGUACC